GCGCUUUCCACCCGCCAGGCAGCCGCGACCGCGCCUCCCUCUGCCCAGCCCUCCAGCAGCCCCUAAAUAUUCCCUGGGUGCCCAGGGGGCGGAAACGGACUUUGCAGCGCGCCGUCAGGCCCUGGCCCACCUUCCCGCGCAAAUCGUGCGAGGAGAUGCCUGGACCCGGGUCAGCGCCUCUCGGUCCCGCCGGCCCCGCGCAGCCUAAGGAGCGCAUGCGCGCUCGGGGACGCUGCCCUUGCGCGGGGUGCCUGGGCUGCGGGAGGCAAACGCAGCGGGAAAUCUGCCGGAGGACACUGCCCUCGACACAAGGGUCAGGGAAGGCUUCCUAGGGAUAUUUAAGCAGCGUUCUGGGAGAGGACAGCACAUGUGGACAGAUGGAACCGACGAUGCAAAGGCCAAGAGGGCGACCAUUGGGGGAAGUUGCCAGCAUGAUGUGCCACUCAAGUACUGAGUUCAAGACUUAGCGUGUGUGCAUCGGCCUUAAGGGGAGCCCUGCCUGAUAGUUGAGACAACACUAGAAUCCUAGCAGGCCUGCUCUGUGACCCAGGACAGUCAUUCAUUCCCUCUGAGCCUCACCUCCGGCAUCCUCGCAAUGGCGAGAACAUUCCUUCGCUUGAAGGCUUCUGUAUGCCAGGCACGUGGCGCAUGCGCAGUGAGGGAGCUUUGUCCCACUAGCAUUGCUCAGCCCGGAAACUGAACAGAGGCCUCUAGAAUGUCUCCUGAAACUUGUUCUCUUGGGCUGUGGAUGGAAGUGAGAGAGUGGGGUAGCAGAAGGAUUUUAAGGCUGGGGUUGGGAAGCAUGAGGCCCUGCUCUGGACUUUCCCUGUGACUUCAGGCAAGUCAGGGCCCCUUUGCCCACCUUGGAGGACAGGUGGUGGGCAGGAUGGCUCCUGCGGUCCCCAGGCUGCCUCCAUCAUCCAGUUUCCAGUGGAGUUCCACAGCUCCCCGAAAGCACUGCUCAUUCCCAGGCUCCCGUGACCCCCUCCCUCCAGCUGAUGAAAAUUCAGCGAGCCACCCAUGGUCAUGCAGCAGGCUAUUGGCAGGGCGUUUGGGCUGCCAGGAGGAGCAGGAACACAGUGCUUCUGUGGUCACCAUAGGUGACCUGAGUCAUUGCGGUCAGGAUUGUGGGGACACCUGCAGUGAAUGUGGGUUCAGGGCUCCCUCCUGCUCCAGCCGCUCUGAGCCACACUCCACUGAGACAAGGGCCUGCCCUUUGCUGGACCU
RNAcentral lists this long non-coding RNA (1227 nucleotides) under Sus scrofa (pig). Its description in RNAcentral is "lncRNA (ENSSSCG00065062653.1)". The record is from RNAcentral. Lineage: Eukaryota; Metazoa; Chordata; Mammalia; Artiodactyla; Suidae.